This is a long non-coding RNA of Mya arenaria, 1346 nucleotides long. RefSeq lists it as uncharacterized. The record is from RefSeq and is a predicted model, not a curated record. NCBI's taxonomy places the organism in Eukaryota, Metazoa, Mollusca, Bivalvia, Myida, Myidae. The transcript has 3 exons.
AAAAAAGUUAAAAAAAAUUGUUACUGGGUAUUAUACGCAGGCAUUUUUUUGCAUCAAAAUCUGAGGGGGAAAAGUGCGUCUAAUACCCAGUCAUUUACGAUGCGGCAAUGUAGCUGCAAUACUAGAGUUAGAUGAACAUUUACAGAGAGAUUUUACUAUAUUUGAAGCUGCUCCUCAGGAGCUUCGAGGAAUACUUACCAAAAAGCCCCAGCCAGACUAUUUCUUAUAAACGCAACAAAGCCUUCGUACAGAGAGCAACAUGUGAUAGGUGGCAAGAGACUGGUGCCAGGUUGGCAGACUGGUUUAAGGUGUUCAGACUGUGUUUUAAGCUAAAAACGUCUCAAUCUGUCUAUUAAAGGUUUUAUCUGGGAAGUCAAAAACAUUCAAAUGAUUGCCAGUAAGUGAUAGCACAGUAUUGUGUAUUUCACUGCAUUUCACUGUAUUAUUUAUGAAAAUAUUUUAGUAAUAAAUAUUCUGAUAAAUUCCAAUUAAAUUUCACCUUUAGUUACUUAUUUUCUCUGGCAAUACUUUGAUGUGUAUUGAUUUUAAGCGGAUUACUACAUGUGCAUAAUCAAUUCAAGAUUAGGCUAAUCAUUCAUGAUUGAUCAGACUAAAUUAAAUGUGUAUGUACAUUUUUAUUGAAGUUUGAAAAUACACAAAGGUACAUUUAAGUAUUAUGAAUAUAAGUGUGGUUAUACCGUACAUGUAUGUUUUUUUAGGAAUGAUAUUGUAUCAAAGUAUUGUUUAAAAAAAUUGAAAGGAUUCAGUCAUUUAUGGUGUUUUCAAAAGUUGAUAUUUAUUGCAAGUAAUUUUGUAAUUUUAAUUAACCAAUUGUAUUUUCAAUUUCCUAAUAGAAUAAUUUUGCCUUAUUGAUUCCACUGGAGGGAAUAUAAGACUGUAUUCAGAUAAAGGAAAUGCUGGUCAUUUUUACAUUGAUAAUGUUACAUAAAUAGUGUACUUAAACAUCCUUGUCAUCACUUAUAGAUGUAUGUAUCAAAGAAUCCCAAUGCAGACUUUGUAGUAUUUUAGUUCAUUGAAGAUGUGUUUAAUUGUUGUUUGACAUAUUUUAAUUUAACAUUGUGUAAAUCAAAUAUGUGACAUAUUUGAAUUUGUAUUUUAUGAAGAUCCUCAUGAUGUUAAUUUGUAAAUAUUUUCAUUUAAUUUACUUUAUUUCAAUUAAAACUAUUUUCAGUUACUAUGUUUUCUAAGUUGUAUGUUUAAGUACAUGUGUUCUUGUAAAUAUAAAGAAGGGCCAUUUGUUUGAAUCUGUCAUCUUACUGAUUUUAUUCUCAUGUGUGGUAUUAGUAAUAUGAUCAAAUAAAAGCAUCAAAGAGUAUGAACACAUA